GAUGAAGAACGUAGCGAAAUGCGAUACGUAAUGUGAAUUGCAGAAUUCAGUGAAUCAUCGAAUCUUUGAAUGCAUAUUGCGCUCUCUGGUAUUCCGGAGAGCAUGCUUGUUUGAGUAUCAGUAAACACCUCAACUUCCAUAUCUUUUUUGAAAUGGGAGUUGGACUUGAGUGAUCCCAACGCUUUUCCUCACCGAAAAGUGGCGGGUUACUUGAAAUGCAGGUGCAGCUGGACUUUUCUCUGAGCUAUAAGCAUAUCUAUUUAGUCUGCCUAAAAAACAGAUUAUUACCUUUGCUGCAGCUAACAUAAAGGAGAUUAGUUCUUGUGCUGACUGAUGCAGGAUUCACAAAGACGGCUUCGGCCGACUUUGUAAACUCGAUCUCAAAUCAAGUAAGACUACCCGCUGAACUUAAGCAUAUCAAUAAGCGGAGGA
RNAcentral lists this unclassified non-coding RNA (432 nucleotides) under soil metagenome. RNAcentral describes it as "partial contains 5.8S ribosomal RNA, internal transcribed spacer 2, and large subunit ribosomal RNA". The stretch from base 1 to 120 matches the Rfam family "5.8S ribosomal RNA", at positions 35 to 154 of the family's 154-position model. The record is from RNAcentral.